This 454-nucleotide ribosomal RNA is filed under the name uncultured bacterium. RNAcentral describes it as "bacterial SSU rRNA". It matches the Rfam family "Bacterial small subunit ribosomal RNA", at positions 29 to 523 of the family's 1533-position model. The record is from RNAcentral.
AACGAACGCUGGCGGCAUGCCUAACACAUGCAAGUCGAACGGGAUCCUAGCUUGCUAGGUGAGAGUGGCGGACGGGUGAGUAACACGUGGGAAUCUGCCUUUUGGUUCGGGAUAACCGCGGGAAACUGCGGCUAAUACCGAAUGCCCUCGAGAGAGGAAAGAUUUAUCGCCAGAAGAGGAGCCCGCGUCCGAUUAGGUAGUUGGUGGGUAAAGGCCUACCAAGCCGACGAUCGGUAGCUGGUCUGAGAGGAUGAUCAGCCACACUGGGACUGAGAUACGGCCCAGACUCCUACGGGAGGCAGCAGUGGGAAUAUUGGACAAUGGGGCAACCCUGAUCCAGCAAUGCCGCGUGAGUGAUGAAGGCCUUAGGGUUGUAAAGCUCUUUUACCAGGGACGAUGAUGACGGUACCUGGAGAAUAAGCCCCGGCUAACUUCGUGCCAGCAGCCGCGGUAA